GUAGGUGAACCUGCGGAUGGAUCAUUAUCACGUAUCCACGUAUCAACCAUUGUGAACUGUUGUUUUACCUCUGAUUAGUAUUGUGAAUGGACUUUCGGGUCUAUGCUUCUCAGUUGUAACUCACUAAACUUUUUUAUUAACAAUUUAAACCUUUAACUUUUAAACUUUGAACUGACUUAUUUUAUACUCUUCGGAGAUAAAAUUCAUUACGAAACAAAGAACAACUCUUAGCAACGGAUAUCUUGGUUCU
RNAcentral lists this unclassified non-coding RNA (250 nucleotides) under plant metagenome. Its description in RNAcentral is "partial contains small subunit ribosomal RNA, internal transcribed spacer 1, and 5.8S ribosomal RNA". The record is from RNAcentral.